Molecule: RNA transcript, 1037 nt
Organism: Fragaria vesca subsp. vesca
Lineage: Eukaryota; Viridiplantae; Streptophyta; Magnoliopsida; Rosales; Rosaceae
Gene name: hyoscyamine 6-dioxygenase-like
Exons: 4
Source: RefSeq, a predicted model, not a curated record
AUGGAGAAGCUUGUUUCUAGCUGGUACAAUAAUGUUCAACCCUUGCCGGAGACUUACAUAUUCCCACCCGAAGCAAGACCAGGGAAGCUUAGCAAUCUUCCUUCAUCUGAUAACAUUCCAGUUAUUGAUCUUGGUGGGGGUGGAGCACAAGGUCAUGAUCGCACUCGUAUAGUUGAGCAAGUACUAGGUGCUAGCGAAGAGUUCGGAUUUUUUCAGGUAAUCAACCAUGGCAUAUCAGAAAACUUGUUGAAUGACACCAUGGAUGUGUUCAGGGAGUUUUUUGCGUUGCCUCCAGAGGACAAGGCAAGCUUAAUCUCUGAGGACCCCAAUAAACUCUGCAGGCUCAUAACUAGCACUGGAAAUUAUGAUAGGGAGAAUGUUCAUCUUUGGCGCGAUGCUCUCCGACACCCUUGUCAUCCUUUAGAGAAAUUCAUUCCGCUUUGGCCUCAACAACCGCUUAAAUAUCGAGAGCAUGUUGGCAAAUGUUCCCAACCCAAGUGAGGAAAGUAGCUUUGAGCAUUUUGGAGUUGAUCAGUGAAGGACUUGGGGUUGGAUAUGGGCACUUCAAUGAUGAACUAAGCCAAGAGACUCUACUGUCAGUUAAUUACUAUCCACCUUGCCCAGACCCAAGUUUGACAUUAGAAAUAACUAAACACUGUGACCCAAACCUCAUCACAAUUUUACUUCAAGGGGAUGUACAUGGCCUUCAGGUUUUUAAAGAGGGGGAAUGGAUUGGUGUGGAACCUCUUCCACAUGGACUAGUGGUUAACAUAGGCUAGUGGUUACAGAUGCAGAUCAUAAGUAAUGGGAAACUGAAAUGUGCUGAACAUCGAGCAGUGACGAAUUCAACCAAUGCUCGGACAUCUGCUGCAUUUUUCAUUGCACCUUCCCAAGACUGCCAUAUACAACCUGCAACAGCUCUUAUCAAUGCAAGCAAUCCUAAAGUCUAUAAGGGCUUCCAAUACAAAGAGUUCCUUUCCAACUACCUAAUGAAGCAGGGCAAUACCAAAGUUGUACUUGAGCCGUUUAAACUCUAA